GUGGGGAAUCUUCCGCAAUGGACGAAAGUCUGACGGAGCAACGCCGCGUGAGUGAUGAAGGUCUUCGGAUUGUAAAGCUCUGUUAAUCGGGACGAAAGAGCCUAGUGUGAAUAAUGCUAGGAAGUGACGGUACCGGAAUAGAAAGCCACGGCUAACUACGUGCCAGCAGCCGCGGUAAUACGUAGGUGGCAAGCGUUGUCCGGAAUUAUUGGGCGUAAAGCGCGCGCAGGCGGAUCUGCCAGUCUGUCUUAAAAGUUCGGGGCUUAACCCCGUGAUGGGAUGGAAACUACAGAUCUAGAGUAUCGGAGAGGAAAGUGGAAUUCCUAGUGUAGCGGUGAAAUGCGUAGAUAUUAGGAAGAACACCAGUGGCGAAGGCGACUUUCUGGACGAUGUCUGACGCUGAGGCGCGAAAGCUAGGGGAGCGAACGGGAUUAGAAACCCUUGUAGUCC
This 450-nucleotide ribosomal RNA is filed under the name uncultured bacterium. Its description in RNAcentral is "partial 16S ribosomal RNA". It matches the Rfam family "Bacterial small subunit ribosomal RNA", at positions 354 to 796 of the family's 1533-position model. The record is from RNAcentral.